Long non-coding RNA from Monodelphis domestica (gray short-tailed opossum), 1104 nucleotides. RefSeq lists it as uncharacterized. The record is from RefSeq and is a predicted model, not a curated record. NCBI's taxonomy places the organism in Eukaryota, Metazoa, Chordata, Mammalia, Didelphimorphia, Didelphidae.
GAUUCACCUGACAUGCACUUUUCAGAGGAAUGAGGUCUGACAAGGUGAGGGCUAAGCCUUUGUGGCUUAGGCUCAAUAAUUCUCUUGCCCUUAGAUCAUUAACUGCUCUGAUCAAGUAUUUAAAACAUCAGCCAUACUUCCAUGCCUGGUAUGCUACAUUUCUCUGCCUAGAUUUUUUUAAGCCACAUUUCUCCAAGGAUUUUCAGGAAAAAAAGCCUCUUGAUUAGCUUGUACCUGCUGCCUGCUCUUGCUUCCUGCUAUCCCUGAUUGCCUCUCUGCACCUUCCUGACCAAGAUAGCUCACCUGGCCCCAGCCCCGUCCACCCCGGCUCUGACUCUGGCUCUGACUCCUAACCUCCAGCCAUCUCACUCACCUGGCCCAGCCCCAGCCCGGCCCCAGCAACUCUGGCCUCUGACCCAGAUCGCUGCUGGUAGCUGCCCCAAUUUCUUCAGGACCACAAACCAACUGUGGAUCAUGGCCAGGCAUGAAGAGGAAAUGGAUCUCAUUUUUGAAUUUUAGGUUAAGAAACAUGAUACCUCUCCAAAUCCAGAAACUGAACUGUUUGGAGAAGACACCAUGAGGAUGCCUCCAGACCACAAACUGCAUGAAAAGAUCAAGGAUGAACUUUGGGGCAGUGGUCAGGAUGCUGCUUAGCCAAGUAGGAGAAGAGCUACUCACCAGAAUGGCUUAGAACUCAGAGGCAAACUUGCCCUGCCAAUGAAAUCUUCUCUGAAAGAGUAGAGAAAAUGCUUCUCUCAGCAGGAAAUUUAGAGCAUCAAAAUUCCGAACUUCACUCUCAUGGCUCUAAGAGGAAAUUUCCAGUCCAUCUCCAAACAGUCCUGGAAAACAGGGGCUCUUGAGCAAACUUCAGUUAAGUCAGGCUCUUUGUACAGCAUCUCUUGCAGUGGGAAAACUUCAUCAAGAGUUUCCAUGUGGCUGGGAAAUCAGUGUAUUUGGUCACCAGGUGGCACUGUGCCUGCAGAAGUUGGGCUGGUGUCCAAGACUUUUCAAUGACCUUUCCAAGUAUGCAUCACUUUCUACUUUCGGUAUUGAGUAGAAUAGAAGCAUCAUAUUUGUUGAUUAAUAAAUACUUUAAAAAUUAAA